RNAcentral lists this ribosomal RNA (460 nucleotides) under uncultured bacterium. RNAcentral describes it as "partial 16S ribosomal RNA". It matches the Rfam family "Bacterial small subunit ribosomal RNA", at positions 338 to 795 of the family's 1533-position model. The record is from RNAcentral.
CCUACGGGUGGCAGCAGUGAGGAAUAUUGGUCAAUGGACGAGAGUCUGAACCAGCCAAGUAGCGUGAAGGAUGACUGCCCUAUGGGUUGUAAACUUCUUUUAUAUGGGAAUAAAAUGUUCCACGUGUGGGACUUUGUAUGUACCAUAUGAAUAAGGAUCGGCUAACUCCGUGCCAGCAGCCGCGGUAAUACGGAGGGUCCGAGCGUUAUCCGGAUUUAUUGGGUUUAAAGGGAGCGUAGGUGGAUUGUUAAGGCAGUUGUGAAAGGUUGCGGCUCAACCGUAAAAUUGCAGUUGAAACUGGCAGUCUUGAGUCCAGUAGAGGUAGGCGGAAUUCGUGGUGUAGCGGUGAAAUGCUUAGAUAUGACGAAGAACUCCGAUUGCGAAGGCAGCUCACUGGACUGCAACUGACACUGAGGCUCGAAAGUGUGGGUAUCAAACAGGAUUAGAUACCCGGGUAGUC